Long non-coding RNA from Chenopodium quinoa (quinoa), 1413 nucleotides. RefSeq lists it as uncharacterized. The transcript has 3 exons. NCBI's taxonomy places the organism in Eukaryota, Viridiplantae, Streptophyta, Magnoliopsida, Caryophyllales, Amaranthaceae. The record is from RefSeq and is a predicted model, not a curated record.
ACUUGAAGACUCUUCCCCCCUUUUUAGUACGAAGAACGACCCCAUUAGACUGCGCUCACUAGCAAACCAGACUAAUUACACAAGUCUAAGGUUGAAAACUAAAAACAGUUAAUCUAGACCAUUAAUUCUAAUCUGACGGAGGAGAUUAAUUUCGUGUAUUAGACAUACACUCCCUUACUUCUUUCUCCUUCACGCAUCUUCUCUCUCUAAAAUUUCAAGCAAUUCUCUCUCGCUUCAUGUUUUGGAUGGAAAUUCUAUCAUCAAAUUGAAUUUAGAUCUUCCGAGGAUUGAUCGGAUUAUUCGAUGUUCGUUUCGUUCUCAAGGAUUGCCAGCUGCGGCGAUUGAGCCGGUGUCGGAGGGCAUUGUGUUGAUGGUGGAGCAUAGAACAAUCGAGGAGAGAGAAAAGUGGUGGAAGAUGGGAUUGGAGGCCAUCCAUGCCGGCAAGUUGGCUGUCAUCCUUUUGUCCGGUGGUCAGUUUUUUUUUUUUUUUUUGUUUUGUUUUGUUUUGUUUUGUUUUGUAAUUCAAUAUGAUAUUAUUUUCUUGUCAAUUAUGAUUUUGCUGGACUUGAUGAGGUUUUUCUUUUGUACUCUAUAAUUGUUUUUAAAUUUUAUGUGUCAUGUAUUGUGAGUUUGUGGCCCUUGAAUUUAUGUAAAAUUGGGGGAUUAGAGCAAUCUUGAGCUUUUCAUUGUGCCUUUUGCUUGGUCGGUUUGCUGUCACGGAUUCAUGGGGGAAUUCGAGUAGUUUAGCAUCUGUUUCUUGUGAUUGUACUGCCUUGCAUUUAGAUGCAGAGUAAAGAUGAGAAAUAGGGUUACAUGUUUGGAAACUAGCAAGCUGAACUUGGUGAAAUUGUAUAAUUUCUUGGAUUAUAUUUUCUUUAUGUAUAGUACUUUUGAGGCUUUAUAAAGAGGCUUCCAUUGCAUAUAUUGAGGCUUCCAUUGCAAAUAUUAAACAGAUUUCUACAUUUGAAGGAGACAGAAAAUUGAAGUCUUACUGUGUAAGCUGCUUGUUUGUGUAAUUGCCAUUUGCUGUUUUUUGUCAAUUAUAAAAUUCUAUUUUGACAUGAAACUAUGAAUGUAAUUUGAGGGACUUUAUUGAAGUUGCUAAUGGAGAUGCAUCUGAGAACAAGAAAAAGAAGCAGAAGAAGAAAAGAAAGGAAAGACAGAGAAGGAUGAAGAGGUUUCAAAAAUAGAGCAAAAUGCAAAUGCAGAAGCUAAGCAGAUAAGCAAAACUAAUAAAGUAGUCAAGCAAUCUAAGGAGAAGCCUGCCAGAGUUAAAACCUUUUUUAAUACCCUUUAUUUUUGUAUAUAAUGACCUACAUGUAAAUAUGGUCAAAAUUGAAAUAAUUACCCUAUUUUUGUAUAUAGUGACCUAUUUGUAAAUUUGUCAAAUUAAUAUAGUUACCCUAUUUUUUA